Molecule: transfer RNA, 75 nt
Filed under: Podospora anserina
Lineage: Eukaryota; Fungi; Ascomycota; Sordariomycetes; Sordariales; Podosporaceae
Description: tRNA-Val copy 2
Rfam family: tRNA
About the family: Transfer RNA (tRNA) molecules are approximately 80 nucleotides in length.
Source: RNAcentral
AAGAAAUUAGCUCAAUGGUAGAGCAACCGUUUUACACACGGAAGGCUAUGAGUUCGAAUCUCCUAUUUCUUAUAA